RNAcentral lists this ribosomal RNA (481 nucleotides) under uncultured bacterium. RNAcentral's name for it is "partial 16S ribosomal RNA". It matches the Rfam family "Bacterial small subunit ribosomal RNA", at positions 28 to 507 of the family's 1533-position model. The record is from RNAcentral.
GACGAACGUUGGCGGCGUGCUUAAUACAUGCAAGUCAACUGAAGCAGUGGUAGCAAUAUCGCUGUGGAGGUGGCGCACGGGUGAGUAACACGUAGGUAAUCUGCCUUCAGGUCUGGCAUAACUCCGGGAAACCGGGGCUAAUAGCAGAUGAUGCAGCGGCUCGACAUCGAGACAGUUGUUAAAGCUAUGGCGCCUGAAGAUGAGCCUGCGUCUGAUUAGCUAGUUGGCGGGGUAACGGCCCACCAAGGCAACGAUCAGUAGCUGGUCUGAGAGGAUGAUCAAGCACAAUGGAACUGAGACACGGGUCAGACUUCGACGGGAGGCAGCAGGAAGGAAUAUUGGUCAAUGGGAGAAAUCCUGAAGCAGCAACGCCGCGUGAGGGACGAAGGGCUUUUGCUUGUAAACCUCUGUAGUGAGAGAAAAAAAUCCCAAUCUUUGGGACAUGAUGGUAUCUCAAAAGUAAGCCCCGGCUAACUACGUG